GCCGAUAAUCGUCCGGCGAGUGGGCUGGUCAUGGCUUGAUCGUUGGUUUUGAAUGCAAUGUAGUCUAGUCCUUGGUUUCCUGCUCUUUUUACUACUGCAAAGUUUUGUGGUACUAUGAUCAUUUGGCCUUCUCUGACCUCGUCGUUGAAUACGGAGUUUCCGGUGUCGCCGACUACCUGAAUCCGGCCACUUCCUCGGAGAAUGUAGAGGAUGCUGUGUGCGUUCAUGUUCCAGUAUGGUGCCAUUACUGCAUUCUGCAAAACUCAAAUGUUGUACGACUUUUUAAGUUAAGUACGAAUCAAUAUAAGAGCCUAAAAUUCCAUAAUGUAAAUUAAGCUCGUUUUUGUGACAAUCUACUAAACAAAUAUGUUCCUGAUUUUGCAAAUAGAUUGCUCUUGCCAACAAAAUGCAUUAAUUUCGACAAGAGUUGGGCCUAACCAGAGAAAAUGUUUUGAAAUAAUUAUCCCGCCAAGCAAGUUCGGUGCAUAAAACGAUCCCGUUUUCACGGGAUUUGAGUUAGCUGGCGGCUAAUGACACGGGAUCUGAGUUAGCUGGCGGCUAAUGACUGCUUAGACGGAUCGACCCGUAACCUAACCUAUAAAACACGCGAAUAUAAUUUACCAUUACUUCGAGUUUACCCUUCCACUCCCCCACUAAGCAAGCGUUAUACUUAAUUGGAGUCAAUAAGGAAAAUUUUCUGUAGCAUUUUAACUUUUUAUGCACUUCCUUUAUCAACAUUGUUUUUUGGUUGCUAUAAUUGAUAUGAAAAAAAUGAUAUUCCAGUAUUUUUCACAGAAUAUUUCUGAUUUCUGAAAAUUAGCCAAAUCAACCCUCAAAAAAGCUAAAAAUGUCAAACAAAUUAAUAGAAGUAGUUCUAUGUUUUACUUAGAAAACUUAAAUUAAUAUGUAAUAUUUUACUUGCCUGGUAAAGGACUCCUCUUUCAGCACUGAGCUGAAGCCAGUUGAGAAUUGGAAGUUUAUGGCUGUUAAGGCUGCUUAUGCGUCCGCCACGUGGAUUGUACACGUCAGCACGAGAUGGUUGGCCCAAGUUCUCUUUAAGCCUCAUAGUACAAAUAGUUUCCUCA
Molecule: long non-coding RNA, 1085 nt
Filed under: Nicotiana tabacum (common tobacco)
Lineage: Eukaryota; Viridiplantae; Streptophyta; Magnoliopsida; Solanales; Solanaceae
Description: long non-coding RNA (NTAB_LNC019460)
Source: RNAcentral